RNAcentral lists this long non-coding RNA (260 nucleotides) under Prunus persica (peach). RNAcentral describes it as "long non-coding RNA (PPER_LNC007638)". Lineage: Eukaryota; Viridiplantae; Streptophyta; Magnoliopsida; Rosales; Rosaceae. The record is from RNAcentral.
ACAAGAAGUACCAAAUUUCCCCAGCCUUUCAUGCUUGCCAAGGUCUCUAAGUGAUGACCAAUCUUUAAACAACAAAGGGAGCCUCUUCUCUUCCAAUUCUCUCUCCCCACACUCAAUCCUCAUGAGCACCACACCAAAAUUCCAAACAAUUUUCUCUGGUAAACAAGUCAUAGAGUUCUCCAAACCCUAUGAGCACCCAAUUUCCCUCUUUUUUAGAACUGAAAAAUCUUUAUUCACAAAUGUUAAAGAUUAAAACGAAG